AGGAUGAACGCUGGCGGUAUGCUUAACACAUGCAAGUCGUACGGGUGGAACUUGUUCCAUCUAGUGGCGGACGGGUGCGUAACACGUAAGAACCUACCUUUUGGAGGGGGAUAACAUUGGGAAACUGAUGCUAAUACCUCGUAAUACUGAGGAGUUAAAAGCGGGUAUCCUGCAAGGGAGCUACGCGCCAAGAGAGGGGCUUGCGGCUGAUUAGCUAGUUGGUGGGGGUAAUGGCCUCCCAAGGCCACGAUCAGUAGCUGGUCUGAGAGGACGACCAGCCACACUGGGACUGAGACACGGCCCAGACUCUUACGGGAGGCAGCAGUGAGGAAUUUUCCACAAUGGGCGAAAGCCUGAUGGAGCAAUCCCGCGUGGAGGAAGAAGGUCUGUGGAUCGUAAUCUCCUUUUCUCAGAGAAGAACAAAAUGACGGUAUCUGAGGAAUAAGCUCCGGCUAACUAUGACGCCAGCAGCCGCGGU
This 478-nucleotide ribosomal RNA is filed under the name uncultured bacterium. RNAcentral describes it as "SSU rRNA". It matches the Rfam family "Bacterial small subunit ribosomal RNA", at positions 26 to 521 of the family's 1533-position model. The record is from RNAcentral.